UACGGAGGAUGCGAGCGUUAUCCGGAUUUAUUGGGUUUAAAGGGUGCGUAGGCGGGAUGCCAAGUCAGCGGUAAAAGUGCGGUGCUCAACGCCGUCGAGCCGUUGAAACUGGCGUUCUUGAGUGGGCGAGAAGUAUGCGGAAUGCGUGGUGUAGCGGUGAAAUGCAUAGAUAUCACGCAGAACUCCGAUUGCGAAGGCAGCAUACCGGCGCCCUACUGACGCUGAGGUACGAAAGCGUGGGUAUCGAACAGG
This 252-nucleotide ribosomal RNA is filed under the name uncultured bacterium. Its description in RNAcentral is "partial 16S ribosomal RNA". It matches the Rfam family "Bacterial small subunit ribosomal RNA", at positions 524 to 776 of the family's 1533-position model. The record is from RNAcentral.